AAAAGAAAAAAAAAAGGCUCCUUAAUUUUCCAAGGUCUUUCCUCCUAUACACUGAAUAUAAUACCAUUUCAUGAAUCUUUAUUACACUGUGUCCAACCUAUACUUCAGAAGGCUGAAAACAGAUGUAUUUGCAUGUGGUUUUCACGUUAUUUCCAGCUGCUCCAUUUCUAAACAAGAAGCAGGAGGACACAUGGUCAGAAUCAGAAUUUUUAAAGGUUAGUGUUCACAAAAAGGAAAACACUGUUCUGUUUUUCUUAUCCUUCUUCAUCUUAUGCACUGAAUUAACUCAAAACUUGUAUUGCAUAUUCUUUUGGAAGCAAAGUGGAUUUGAGGCAAAAUCUGAGAAAGAAGUUAAUUUAAAAUUCCACUAUCUCAUUCUACAGUUACUAGAUUUGUCCUCUGUUCUGAAAUCUAUGAACCACACCCAUAACCCCACCAGCCACUGUCUCUACUAUCUCCAGUACAAAACCUAUCUUGGAGGCAAUAAUUCUCAGUAUCUAGUAACUUGCUUAUAUCUUUAG
RNAcentral lists this long non-coding RNA (521 nucleotides) under Mustela putorius furo (domestic ferret). Its description in RNAcentral is "lncRNA (ENSMPUG00000027376.1)". The record is from RNAcentral. Lineage: Eukaryota; Metazoa; Chordata; Mammalia; Carnivora; Mustelidae.